This is a long non-coding RNA of Saccostrea echinata, 984 nucleotides long. RefSeq lists it as uncharacterized. The record is from RefSeq and is a predicted model, not a curated record. Lineage: Eukaryota; Metazoa; Mollusca; Bivalvia; Ostreida; Ostreidae. The transcript has 4 exons.
UUCAUGUAUUAGGUUAGUUUAACUUCAUUCUUUAAAGUAAAGCACAUUGUAAUUCUUUUAACAGGAUAACCAAAAUAUUUAUAAAUGAUGUCUACAUUUACAAAAGUUAUUUCCCCUUUGCAGGGUUAAGCUGGACAUACAUUAAGUAUGGCUGUCGGAAUAGAUGGAAACUUGUCCUGCCACUGGUGUUGGAAGUUUUUCUUCUAUGGCCCAGUUGUGCAGACGGCAACAACACUCAAUAAUACGAACGCAUUUUGUUGGGGUGUAUGCUAAAGCCCCACCUGUUUUGUGAAGACAUCUGGAAUGAAAUUACAGUCACAUUGUUAUAUAUGGGUUAAAUAGCAGCAACUUUAAGACACCGAAGGCCCUCUCAACACAAUUCCUUGUUUUGAUGUGGCUCUCGUUAUACUUCUCCUGCUGUUGGGUCUGUGGAGAGAGUAUUGGUGUCAUUAGCCAUGGGCGGAGAGGGUAACCACUGUCGCCCAAAAGCCAGCCCCCACCUGGGAGCUGCUCCAUUGUUUCUGGAAUGUUGCUGUUUGCAAGUCAGCUGUCACAAUCCCUUGCAUAUUAAUGGCAUGAAACCCUUUCCUGGACACAAACACAUGUUCAUCAUCUGUCGACAUUCCUAUGAUGGGAAUCAGAGUCCCAUCAAUGGCUCCGACAACAUUAGGAAAAUUGGACAAUCUCAGAAAGUCUUCUUUGGUUUUCAGAAUCUCAGCUGGUCGAGAAGGGAAGAUUAUGUUAUCUAAACUUCCAUUCAAGGCAUCGACAACAUCCAUAAACAUUCUGCUAAAUGAGGGCUGAGAGAUGCCAUGAAUGUCUGCAGCCUCAGACUGGAAAUCUCCUUUGGCCAGGACCCUGAGAGUUGACAAUACCUAAGAAUUUUGUACAUAAAUAUUUCUAAAUUGCGUUUUCCUGUGGAAUUAAAAAUAAUUAUGUUUUCUCUGGAUUAAUAUAAAUGUUUAAUAAAUAUGGGUAUUUGAA